Molecule: long non-coding RNA, 335 nt
Organism: Eptesicus fuscus (big brown bat)
Lineage: Eukaryota; Metazoa; Chordata; Mammalia; Chiroptera; Vespertilionidae
Exons: 3
Source: RefSeq, a predicted model, not a curated record
AGCGGUUGGAGGGCACAGAAGGAGCAGAAGACAUUCUGGAGUUCUGCAAAGACCAUGCUGCUGAUGAACCAGGUCAUGGCGUCUCCAAUGCUCCAGCCUGAACUCUGGGCCUGCCCGUGGCCUCUGUGCUGCAGCAUUCAUCAACGACCUGGAAUGUGGGAGAUUUUCCUUAACUUCCGAGCCCCAAGGAGGGUCUUGUACCCAGUGGGAGGCCAGAAGCAUCUCCUGAAUGAAACAUCAUGCGCCGCCAUGCCCGGAAGCCCUGGAGACGCUCGUGUGUUUCCAGUGUAAUGACCAAGCCUAGGAACUCAUCAGAGGCAUCUGUUUGACUAAAA